RNAcentral lists this ribosomal RNA (544 nucleotides) under Periclimenes paivai. Its description in RNAcentral is "partial 16S ribosomal RNA". It matches the Rfam family "Bacterial large subunit ribosomal RNA", at positions 1825 to 2628 of the family's 2925-position model. Lineage: Eukaryota; Metazoa; Arthropoda; Malacostraca; Decapoda; Palaemonidae. The record is from RNAcentral.
AACAUGUCUGUAUUUAAUUUAUAUAAAGUCUGACCUGCCCACUGAUUCUUAAAGGGCCGCAGUAAUUUGACUGUGCGAAGGUAGCAUAAUCAUUAGUCUUUUAAUUGAAGGCUGGAAUGAAUGGUUGGAUGAGGGGUAUACUGUCUUUUUAAAUUAUGUGAAUUUAACUCUUAAGUGAAAAGGCUUAAAUGACGUGAAGGGACGAUAAGACCCUAUAAAACUUUAUAUAGUUUCUUUUAAAUUAUUUAAAUUAAGAUUAAAGGAAUUUAUUGGGGAUUAUAUUACGUUGGGGAGAUGAUAAUAAAAUUUGUAACUGUUUUUUAUAAAUAAUAAUUAUAAUUAUGUUUUGAUCCUUUAUUAGAGAUUAUAAGAUCAAGUUACUUUAGGGAUAACAGCGUAAUUUUUCUAGAGAGUCCUUAUCGACAGAAAUAGUUGCGACCUCGAUGUUGAAUUAAAAUUUAUCAAUAGGCGUAGCCGCUUAUUAUAAUAGGUCUGUUCGACCUUUAAAUUUUUACAUGAUUUGAGUUCAAACCGGUGUGAGCCA